Molecule: ribosomal RNA, 497 nt
Filed under: uncultured bacterium
Lineage: Bacteria
Description: partial 16S ribosomal RNA
Rfam family: Bacterial small subunit ribosomal RNA
Source: RNAcentral
GAUGAACGCUGGCGGCGUGCCUAAUACAUGCAAGUCGAGCGAACAGACGAGGAGUUUGCUCCUCUGAAGUUAGCGACGGACGGGUGAGUAACACGUGGAUAACCUACCUAUAAGACUGGGAUAACUUCGGGAAACCGGAGAUAAUACCGGAUAAUAUAUUGAACGGCAUGGUUCAAUAGUGAAAGACGGUUUUGCUGUCACUUAUAGAUGGAUCCGGGCCGGAUUAGCUAGUUGGUAGGGUAACGGCCUACCAAGGCGACGAUGCGUAGCCGGUCUGAGAGGAUGAUCAGUCACACUGGAACUGAGACACGGUCCAGACUCCUACGGGAGGCAGCAGUGGGGAAUAUUCGGCAAUGGGCGAAAGCCUGAUCCAGCCAUGCCGCGUGUGUGAAGAAGGUCUUCGGAUUGUAAAGCACUGUAAGUUGGGAGGAAGGGCAGUGAGUUAAUACCUUGCUGUUUUGACGGUACCAACAGAAUAAGCCCCGGCUAACUUCGUG